Molecule: non-coding RNA, 76 nt
Organism: Merluccius polli (Benguela hake)
Lineage: Eukaryota; Metazoa; Chordata; Actinopteri; Gadiformes; Merlucciidae
Source: the annotation of a GenBank genome assembly
GGGGCAGUAGCUCAGGCGGUAGAGCAUGCUUUCUGGCAACCAAAAAGUUGCUGGUUUGAUCCCCGGCCGGCUCCUA